UAGGGAAUCUUCCACAAUGGACGAAAGUCUGAUGGAGCAACGCCGCGUGAGUGAAGAAGGGUUUCGGCUCGUAAAGCUCUGUUGGUAGUGAAGAAAGAUAGAGGUAGUAACUGGCCUUUAUUUGACGGUAAUUACUUA
RNAcentral lists this ribosomal RNA (138 nucleotides) under uncultured bacterium. RNAcentral's name for it is "partial 16S ribosomal RNA". It matches the Rfam family "Bacterial small subunit ribosomal RNA", at positions 355 to 485 of the family's 1533-position model. The record is from RNAcentral.